GGAGGCGUCGCAUAGUGGCCUAGUGCGCCCGCCUGCUAAGCGGGUUGGGGAUAACACCCCUCGCGAGUUCAAAUCUCGCCGCCUCCGCCG
Molecule: transfer RNA, 90 nt
Filed under: Humibacillus sp. DSM 29435
Lineage: Bacteria; Bacillati; Actinomycetota; Actinomycetes; Micrococcales; Intrasporangiaceae
Description: tRNA-Ser
Rfam family: tRNA
About the family: Transfer RNA (tRNA) molecules are approximately 80 nucleotides in length. Their secondary structure includes four short double-helical elements and three loops (D, anti-codon, and T loops).
Source: RNAcentral